AGUCAAUCUUUACCAAUUCAAUUCCCCGCAUGAAGACAAGCCUUCUGACAGACCUGCAUAUAAAUCCUGGCUUAAUUCAGGUAUGGAUUCAGAGUCAAUGUGCAAAAUGGGGGGUUUUUGUGGCGGUGGGAUGGAGAGCUGCCCUAUGAAGUAGGUCCUAUCUUUCUCCCGCAUUUUGAAGAGGAGGAAACUAAGACAUAAAAAGUUAA
Molecule: long non-coding RNA, 209 nt
Organism: Orcinus orca (killer whale)
Lineage: Eukaryota; Metazoa; Chordata; Mammalia; Artiodactyla; Delphinidae
Exons: 3
Source: RefSeq, a predicted model, not a curated record